Varroa destructor (honeybee mite) is the source of this 4491-nucleotide long non-coding RNA. The record is from RefSeq and is a predicted model, not a curated record. NCBI's taxonomy places the organism in Eukaryota, Metazoa, Arthropoda, Arachnida, Mesostigmata, Varroidae.
CGUAACUGAUUUCUCUUUUAUCAUAUCAUACUCAACCUGGGAAGCUUAUUAUGAAUUUUUUUUUUUUUUUUUUUAAUUAAGUGCUUUGUGCUAUGUAGUUCGCUCUUGGGCUAGCUUCGAACAAGCUUUCUCUUUUUCAAUAUUGUCGCCGGUACGAUUCGUCUUCAAGGCAUUGCAGACUUGCCUAUCAAUACUACCAUUAUGGAGAGCACCAGCACACAAGUGAUUAACAUAAGAAUGAAUCACUUUGUACCUAUUUCCACAAAACUAUGUCGAUAUGGUUCCAUUCUGGUUGUUGCAUGAUGCUGUCGUCCAAUCAAUAAUUUUGAACGAGUAACAUGAUUCUCCUUGGGAGUUUUAUAUUAUUGUUUGUUAUAUGUUUAUUUGAAUAGAUAAAUAUAUGUGUCGAAAGAAGCACGCCUAUCUAUGUAUUCCACUCAUAGAGACGCGUACUUGUCAACAAGUAAGUUUCAAAUGGUGCCUUGCUUAUAUAUGGACUUGUCUAUUUAGUGUCUAUCGUACAUUAUAUUUUUACAUAGCAACGAUCCGGAACUACUAGUCACAUAAGACAGAUCUCCUAUAGGACCGUUUUGUUUCCUUUUUAUCUUCAGUAACUAUAAUUGCUUCCCGGAGUAUAAGCAUUUAUUUACCAUAGGUAUUUAUUUUACCCAAUUUAAACCUGUGCUGUCGGGUAGAUAAGAGUAUUACUAUCGGAUCUAAGGUAACAUAUAAGUAAUACAAUAACAUAGUAAGACAGCCAAUGUUUUUUUCUCCAAAAAUCUCUAUCAUUAUUAUUGUUAUUACUCACGGCAGGUCGCUACUCCAGUCGCUCAUUUAUACGCGUGAAUCCACGACUAUGCACGCAUGCUGACUCCUUGAGUUGGUAUUACAUUGUUUUAAUAUAUAUAUAUAUAUUACGUUGUUCGGUUACUAACAUAAACCGACUUACUCGUACAUAAAGUUGCCGUGCGUGACCUGCUUAAAUCAUUCCAUCAUUCUUUCGGUGAAUUCACGAGUGUAGUAAUCGAUUAUAGCCCCAUCCCCUUUAUAAAAAUAUCGGUGACUAUCAAUCAACCAUUACCAAAAGCAACGGCUGUAUAUCCAUCUGUAUAUGCAUCCGUGUAUAGCUUUACGAUGACGAUGAACUUAGAUCAAAUUUCGGGUCGAGGGGUGGAUAAUUCAUUCGUAAAUAGACAUUUUCAUGUGUCCCUUCCCCCACAGUAAAUUAUUUGCAGAAGUACCAUUUUUGUUUUUAUUUUAGCUAAGUUAUUCAUCUUUUUCCUUUGUUCUUUCUUAAUGAUUGCGGUAGUCUUCUAUGAGCAAAUACGUAUCGCAUCAGGUCAGGUAUAAUCCGUUACAUGACAAACGGAUAUGAUACUCGCAAAAAAUAGAAACUCAAAAUGAACAUUUUUUUCGUACUCGAUAUAUCUAAAAUUGAAAGGUGCUACAACUGUUUUGCAUUAGUGUAAUUGGUCGAUUGAGUUCGACUUAAGUUUGCUAUCCUCUAAGUCUAUAGAAGAAUACGCUUCAAAUCAUCUUUAUGUAUGCACAACUUUGUCAUUUGGAUUUGCAUUUACCGAAAUACUAUGCUUAGCAUGAUAAAGAGCAAACCGAUGGUAACUUCUCCCAUCAAUACCUAGGGCACAGCUAAUAAAUCAUCGGCGGAGAUUUUCUCCGUAUGUAAAAACGAACCGUUCAUAUAAAUACAUUGACGCCAAAACACACAAGUCAGUACUCGUUAUGGAAAAACAACAACAGCCAUAUGAUACGAAUGCAGUACGGCAAUCCAAUCAUUUGCGAAACCUUUGCGAACAAGAACUUGGUAAUAGAAGACGCGCGUUUACAACUCUGAAAUAGGUGACCGUAACAUUAUAAGAGACUGACUCAUUUGUACGCCAUUAUUGCUAACAGAUAUAGGGCUACGCUUGCUGUUAUGCAACUAGCGGGAUGUCAACAAAGCGGACGAUUUCGUCUGCUCCAAAUAGCUGUCUUGUUAAAGCCACGUGGUAUUAAGAAACAGAUUCCAGGCAAGUCUGAAAGGCCGCACCGAUACAAGGCUAUGCUUAUAAAGCAAUCGGAAGAGUGAUUACUAAUUAAUUCAAGCCCUAAAAAAAGGUCAAAGAUGAAACACCGAAACAAGUCCCUGCGAUUUGUUCACGGGUGACGGGCGGAUGUGUACAACCAUAAAAAUGCGUAAUUUAUGCACGUAUUUUACUUAUGGAUAGAAGCGACGACCAGCGGCAGUUUUGGCUUACGAACAUUGUCAUCUUUAUAAUGGAUACAUGUCUGCAUUUUUUUGUAUCUAUAAUAAUCGUUAGAGACGUAUGGGUUUCGAGAAUAUCCAAAUGCGGUACGUAGUGAAAACGAUAAGUAUUAUGUGAAAAACGGUCUAUAGAAUUAUGCAUCUGCAGUGAUACGACCGAUAGGUGGUUAGUAAGAAUUUUUAAUAAUUUCUCAAUCGCCAGCGAUAUGAUACUUCGCAACAUCCAAUAAACAAAUCGAGACUCCUUUAUAUAAUACAUAGAAUACUAAAUUAUUUCGUUUACCGAACGUUUAUCAGUAUAUCUAUAUCAGAUUUAUAGCAGAGCAUUAUCAAAGAUGAUAGAAACAAAAAUAAUUAACGCAAUAGAUAUCACAAGAAAAGAUAAGUUAUUUCAAAAACAGCAUCAACUGUUGCCAGUUGCUCCCAGCAUUGAACAAACGCGUAAGUUACUAAACACGCUAACGAAUGAAUGCAUAGACACAUACACACAUUUACACACCUAUAGACACAGUGCUAUGAUGUUAACAACCACGAAUAAUAGAAUGUGUAGAAAUUUUCAUUCCAACAUUCUUAUACAACUUUUCCUCGUGUGAAUAUUUUUGCCAUCGCCACCUUUUUUAUAGACAUUUGCGUGUGAGACAAUGCAGACUGCUCCAAAAGUUUCACUAUUCAACAAAGAGACAAAGUGCCGUGACAAUAUAUAAACACCCUUUACCCUGGCCAUUAGCCCACUGAUGUGAUAAGAUGGUCAAGGUCUUGUAACCGACAGAAAAAAAUCGGGAAAUCACUUUAGAUUAACUAUAAGCUGUUCGGACCUGUGUCACAAAUUGUGCCUUUAAGGGUCUAGAUAGUGUACGUCAUCUGCUGCAAUCUCGACCCUAGUUUCUCUGCUACCGCUGAAAGAUAUUGCAUAUGUCUAUUCAAUGGGUGCCGUUAGCGAUAACCUAAUAACAUAGGGACUGCUUUCUCCACAUAUCUUUCAGAAGUCUUUACUUCUAGGCUAGGCACAAAGCAUCAUUCUACCCCAUGGUUUUGCACUGCGACAAAGGACGAAUAAAAGAGCUACAAUGGGAUUUUGAUGAUUUUUUAAUGUUUAAUGGACUACGAGAAAUUAUGACAUUAUACAGAAUAAUCAUGUUGAUAGAGGCUAUUCAACAUACACAACAUCUAUCUCCCUAUGUUUUUCAAUGGAGACCUGAGUAAAACGCCUCUGUGGUUUUAUAGAUCUUUAUCCUUAAGCCAUUUUAGAUAGAACCCAGCGACCUAGGUAUCUAAACAGUAAAUUUAACCUCACAAUAGGGCAUUGACUCUUAGCUAAAGAUAGCGGAAUUUGUUCCAUUAGAUAAUUAAGUAUAAAUUUCCACAUAGUUUUGUGAAUUGUCAACGCGGAAGUGAAUGAUUGGCUAUUAGUAUUGGAGAAGCUGAACUCUACUCAACUGUCAAUGUUUUCAGUGUCUGUGUGAAUCCGGCAACCUUGCCAAAGAUAGACGUAAUUUGAUUUAGUCCUCUUGAUGUUGCACUACGGAUGUGAUUUUCACAACAAACUAUAGAAAAAUGUGCGUUUUCGAUUAACAAAAAAAUCAAAUUAUUAUUAUAUCAACUAGUAUAGAUAAGUUCUACGUGCACAGCUUUAAAAGCCCUAUUUUUUCAGAAUUAAUUCUAAUAAAUGGCCGCGAAAGGACAAAGCCAUUUUGUACUGGGAUAAACGACUCUUCAGUUGCAAUGAUCUUUAUAGAACGCGCCCUUAGUAAUAAGCACAAAGUCUAUUUUUCUUCUGUUUUUUUGCGACACGUGACGCCUGCUUUUUUGUCGUUGCCGGACAAGACCAACAAUGUCAAAUGAAGGAAUGAACCCUUCCCUAGUGUCCUUAAUCAGGAAUGUCGGUGUCGCGCGUUAACUUGGCACUCCUUUGUGCAUAUUUUUACUCUGCGUAGUAUUUUACGCUCUAUGACCUGGCCUUGUGAAAGCUCGAUGCGGUGAUUACCGCGUGCAGUAAGCUAAUGAGUUCAUAUAGAUAAUCAAUUUUGCUGAGACCACCGGCAGAUAUAGUAGUAAUCGUUGGCUCCUUAAUUCUUUGUAAGUAUCGGGUAGUUAUGUAUGUAUAGAGUAUUUCAAUGAAUCCCUCAUUGCUUCAUCGAACAGCAUACUAGUAUAAUUCCGUAUCAGACAUAUUUGGAAAUUAUAUAUACAUCUUGUAACGGUUACCAGGGCCUCAUUUUUAUUUCUUU